GAUGAACGCUGGCGGCGUGCCUAAUACAUGCAAGUCGAGCGAACAGAUGAGGAGCUUGCUCCUCUGACGUUAGCGGCGGACGGGUGAGUAACACGUGGAUAACCUACCUAUAAGACUGGGAUAACUUCGGGAAACCGGAGCUAAUACCGGAUAAUAUAUUGAACCGCAUGGUUCAAUAGUGAAAGACGGUUUUGCUGUCACUUAUAGAUGGAUCCGCGCCGCAUUAGCUAGUUGGUAAGGUAACGGCUUACCAAGGCAACGAUGCGUAGCCGACCUGAGAGGGGGGGCGGCAACACUGGAACUGAGUCACGGAACGGACACAAACGGGAGGCACCAGUGCGGAAUGUUCGACAAUGGGCUAAAGCCUGACAGAGCAAGGCAGAGGGAAUGAUGAAAGUCUUAGGAUCGUAAAAAUCUGUUAGUAGGGAAGAACAAAUAGGCAACGACAAAUGCACGUCUAGAAGUUACCUAAUCAGAACGGCACGGACACCUACAUG
This 497-nucleotide ribosomal RNA is filed under the name uncultured bacterium. RNAcentral describes it as "partial 16S ribosomal RNA". It matches the Rfam family "Bacterial small subunit ribosomal RNA", at positions 28 to 507 of the family's 1533-position model. The record is from RNAcentral.